Long non-coding RNA from Symphalangus syndactylus (siamang), 691 nucleotides. RefSeq lists it as uncharacterized. Lineage: Eukaryota; Metazoa; Chordata; Mammalia; Primates; Hylobatidae. The record is from RefSeq and is a predicted model, not a curated record.
CCCUGAAGUCGCUGGACGUUGUGAGGAACACAUCCGGAGCAGAAGACACAGGUGGCUGGUCAUGGAGAGCCCGCUGGGGGAAGAGCACACGGACAGGCACCGGCAGGCCAUUGACCAGCGAGACAAGGUGGAGUUUGGCUGGGGCAGUGAGAGGAGAGCUGGGGCCGCCGAGCUGCCCUACUCCAGGUGAGCUCAAUGUCAUCACAAGGGCCCUUAAGAGGGAAAGAGCAAGCCAUAAGGGUCAGAGUCAAAGGAAGACUUGAAGAUACUACACUGCAGACUUUAAAGAUGAAGGAAGGGGCAAAAGCCAAGAAUGUGGGAAGCCUCUAGAAGCUAGAGAAGGCAAGGAAACAGAUUUUCCCCUAGAGCCUCCAGAAGGAACACAGCCCUGCUGACCCGUUGUAAUGUCUGAUCUCUAGAUGUGUAAGGGUAGUAGGACCGAAAGUCUCAGAAAGGCACUGUUACAUUCUUAUUCCACAACCAUGAAACUCAAAAGUGGGGUCCUCAGCAGUGAGUGAGGGGCGAGAGAAGACACUGUAUAAACAUGGCACAUCCUCCUGGAAAGUCAACUUUACUGAAAGGCUGCAGGCCGUAUUAUGCUAAAUCAAGGAUACGGGGAGAUAAUUAACAUAGCAACUCUGGCAAGUUUAAUAGGUUCUUAACACACAGUGACAGCUAGCAGAGUCUAAAG